This 479-nucleotide ribosomal RNA is filed under the name uncultured Magnetospirillum sp. Its description in RNAcentral is "bacterial SSU rRNA". It matches the Rfam family "Bacterial small subunit ribosomal RNA", at positions 61 to 587 of the family's 1533-position model. The record is from RNAcentral. Lineage: Bacteria; Pseudomonadati; Pseudomonadota; Alphaproteobacteria; Rhodospirillales; Rhodospirillaceae.
GUCGACGAUACCUUCGGGUAUAGUGGCGCACGGGUGAGUAACACGUGGGAAUAUACCUUUCAGUGGGGGAUAACAUCGGGAAACUGAUGCUAAUACCGCAUACGCCCUUAGGGGGAAAGAUUUAUCGCUGAAAGAUUAGCCCGCGUCCGAUUAGCUAGUUGGUGAGGUAAUGGCUCACCAAGGCGACGAUCGGUAGCUGGUCUGAGAGGAUGACCAGCCACACUGGGACUGAGACACGGCCCAGACUCCUACGGGGGGCAGCAGUGGGGAAUAUUGGACAAUGGGCGCAAGCCUGAUCCAGCCAUGCCGCGUGAGUGAUGAAGGCCUUAGGGUUGUAAAGCUCUUUCGACGGGGACGAUGAUGACGGUACCCGUAGAAGAAGCCCCGGCUAACUUCGUGCCAGCAGCCGCGGUAAUACGAAGGGGGCUAGCGUUGUUCGGAAUUACUGGGCGUAAAGCGCACGCAGGCGGUUCGAUUAG